Molecule: long non-coding RNA, 471 nt
Organism: Pan troglodytes (chimpanzee)
Lineage: Eukaryota; Metazoa; Chordata; Mammalia; Primates; Hominidae
Exons: 3
Source: RefSeq, a predicted model, not a curated record
UCAUCCAAUCAAGACAUGCAGUCCAGGAACCUCCGUGGGCACUACCGCAGUAUAUAAAUGAUGCUGAAGUGCGGUAACGUUUUUUCAGGUUCCUGUAUUUUCAUGUCGAGUUGCUCACUGCCCAACGUAGAAGAGUAGGAAUCAGGAUUCGGUGGCUAUAUGCUGGAGGCUGGAGCCGCGGGAGCGCAGCUCGCCUCACUGCGGUUGUUGGCAGUGAUGGAGAGAUAGCAUCGCGGCUGGAGAGUCUUUCCAUCGUGUUCCACUGUCGCAGCCACACACCAGAUAUGAAGACUACAAGCAACCUCAAAAGGUCUUUUCAUUUGUUCAGCAUUUGAAACUUCUUCCUGACACCAGAGGGGCUCUUCUUAGCUGUCUUUUUCCUGGGUUAUUCCUGGUAAACUAGCUGAUAUUUGUUUCAAAGCAUAUGUCUCUAAUAAAGUGCCAGUCUCUCUUAUUUGAUUUUUACCAUCA